This 508-nucleotide ribosomal RNA is filed under the name uncultured bacterium. Its description in RNAcentral is "partial 16S ribosomal RNA". It matches the Rfam family "Bacterial small subunit ribosomal RNA", at positions 899 to 1397 of the family's 1533-position model. The record is from RNAcentral.
ACUCAAAGGAAUAGACGGGGGCCUGCACAAGCGGUGGAGUAUGUGGCUUAAUUCGAUGCAACGCGAAGAACCUUACCUGGCCUUGACAUGCAAGUAGUAGAAGCUUGAAAGAGUAACGAGGUAGCAAUACCAGCUUGCACAGGUGCUGCAUGGCUGUCGUCAGCUCGUGUCGUGAGAUGUUGGGUUAAGUCCCGCAACGAGCGCAACCCUUGUGUCCUGUUGCCACUCGAACGAGAGUUCGAAGCACUCUGGACAGACUGCCUCGCUUAAACGAGGAGGAAGGUGGGGAUGACGUCAAGUCAGUAUGGCCCUUACGGCCAGGGCUGCACACGUACUACAAUGCCCGGUACAAAGGGAAGCAAGACCGCAAGGUGGAGCAAAUCCCAUAAAACCGGGCCCAGUUCAGAUUGUCGGCUGCAACUCGCCGACAUGAAGCCGGAAUCGCUAGUAAUGGCGCAUCAGCUACGGCGCCGUGAAUACGUUCCCAGGCCUUGCACACACCGCCCGU